This is a long non-coding RNA of Hylaeus volcanicus, 1288 nucleotides long. RefSeq lists it as uncharacterized. The record is from RefSeq and is a predicted model, not a curated record. The transcript has 3 exons. Lineage: Eukaryota; Metazoa; Arthropoda; Insecta; Hymenoptera; Colletidae.
CAAAUUUUAUCAGUACGAUGAACUCUUGAUGAUGUUGACUCCUGUUGUUAAAAUGUGAAUUACAGCGUACAGUUGAUCUGUAUACCUUUUUUAUUUUGAAAUAUGAUCUCGUUAUUGCUUAAAAAUUAUUCUAGACGAUAUUCUCAUUAAGCUAAUAAAUAGAUUGAACGAUACAGUGUUAGCUAAAUGGAUAUGAUAUUUUUGUGAUGUUCCGUCGCUAAAUUGAUACAAUUGCUUUCAAAGGAGCGAAUAGUACCUAAGUAAAAUGCUGUAGCAGAUUUGAUCAAUUUCAGCAAAAAUGUGGACAUUUGUGAUUAUGAACAGUCAAAUAUGGGUGAUAAGAAUGCAGUUUGAGAAUUGUUCGUUCUAUGCUCUUAAUUCCUAUAACUGUAUUCGUGAAUCCAUCAUGACGAUGUUGAAAAUCAAUACUUGUGUCAUAAAUGAAUUACCUCGGAUCUAAUCUUAUUUAAAGUGUCAAAUAUAAUUCAACCUCGGUAACUCGAGCUUCGAGGAAAGAGCUUAAAGUCUUCCAGUUAUAAAGAGAGGUUUCAUAAAAGAAAAUUCGACGUAUCGAGUCAUCGUACAAGUGUUAAUAUCUUACUAAUUAUAAGGGGCUAAACAAAUAAAGAAAUAUUAAAUUCUUGAACAUGAGUUACAUACCUAUACGUAUACAAUACAAUGUGUAGAGUGUGCAUACAUAUAUGUAUAAUCAUAAAUCGUGUUAGAACUGUAUGACGUAUAAUAUGCAAGUACAAUGACUCACAAAAAUAUUCGGACACUAUAGUGCAUCUAUUCGACUUUAACGUUGCAAAUGUAUGCCACUCAUUCACGAAGGAAACCUUACGUUUUGGUCUCCAUAAACCUAAAACGUAUUCAAUCUAUACCGGGAUUACCGGGACAUCGAUUCUUUCCUCCUGGUAAUCCGGAGCUCAUAGAAGUACGUUGACCAAGUUUCAUCAUACACACGCUAAAUAGUAUUCGACAAAUAAAACGAAGCGAACAAUCAUGUACACACUGCUUUUAAUUACAAUCUUAAUUUUCAUAGAUUCAAAGCUGGUACAUUCACUGUACUUCCUUGUAGUGUCCUCUCCCUUCACCGCUUCCUUUUAAUUCUAAUAUUCCAAUUACAUCUACCAAUUGCCAAUAUUUUGUUAGUCGGUCUUCGACAUCUUGGAUUACUUUUGUAUCAGAAAGAACAUUCACAAUUUAACAAUCUCACGCUGAUUUCGUUAACGACGUCGUCCUAACGGCACACGAAAAUAAAGCGACAUUUUUGGGUUUAAGUACG